GCCCUACGGGGCGCAGCAGGCGCGAAACCUCUGCAAUGCGGGAAACCGUGACAGGGGGAUUCCAAGUGCUCAUGCAUUGCAUGGGCUGUUCUUUGGUCUAAGUAACCAGAGGAGUAAGGGCUGGGCAAGACCGGUGCCAGCCGCCGCGGUAAUACCGGCAGCUCGAGUGGUAGCCGCGAUUAUUGGGCCUAAAACGUUCGUAGCCGGAUAAGUAAGUCUUUGGUUAAAUCCUACGACUUAACCGUGGGAAAUC
Molecule: ribosomal RNA, 253 nt
Filed under: uncultured archaeon
Lineage: Archaea
Description: partial 16S ribosomal RNA
Rfam family: Archaeal small subunit ribosomal RNA
Source: RNAcentral